AACGAAGUUAGGAAGCUUGCUUCUGAUACUUAGUGGCGGACGGGUGAGUAAUGCUUAGGAAUCUGCCUAGUAGUGGGGGAUAACUUGGGGAAACCCAAGCUAAUACCGCAUACGACCUACGGGUGAAAGGGGGCUUUUAGCUCUCGCUAUUAGAUGAGCCUAAGUCGGAUUAGCUGGUUGGUGGGGUAAAGGCCUACCAAGGCGACGAUCUGUAGCUGGUCUGAGAGGAUGAUCAGCCACACUGGGACUGAGACACGGCCCAGACUCCUACGGGAGGCAGCAGUGGGGAAUAUUGGACAAUGGGCGAAAGCUGAUCCAGCCAUGCCGCGUGUGUGAAGAAGGCCUUUUGGUUGUAAAGCACUUUAAGUGGGGAGGAAAAGCUUAUGGUUAAUACCCAUAAGCCCUGACGUUACCCACAGAAUAAGCACCGGCUAACUCUGUGCCAGCAGCCGCGGUAAUACAGAGGGUGCAAGCGUUAAUCGGAAUUACUGGGCGUAAAGCGCGCGUAGGUGGUUAUUUAAGUCAGAUGUGAAAGCCCCGGGCUUAACCUGGGAACUGCAUCUGAUACUGGAUAACUAGAGUAGGUGAGAGGGGAGUAGAAUUCCAGGUGUAGCGGUGAAAUGCGUAGAGAUCUGGAGGAAUACCGAUGGCGAAGGCAGCUCCCUGGCAUCAUACUGACACUGAGGUGCGAAAGCGUGGGUAGCAAACAGGAUUAGAUACCCUGGUAGUCCACGCCGUAAACGAUGUCUACCAGUCGUUGGGUCUUUUAAAGACUUAGUGACGCAGUUAACGC
RNAcentral lists this ribosomal RNA (793 nucleotides) under uncultured Moraxella sp. RNAcentral's name for it is "bacterial SSU rRNA". It matches the Rfam family "Bacterial small subunit ribosomal RNA", at positions 65 to 858 of the family's 1533-position model. The record is from RNAcentral. Lineage: Bacteria; Pseudomonadati; Pseudomonadota; Gammaproteobacteria; Moraxellales; Moraxellaceae.